AAUUGGAGGGCAAGUCUGGUGCCAGCAGCCGCGGUAAUUCCAGCUCCAAUAGCGUAUAUUAAAGUUGUUGCAGUUAAAAAGCUCGUAGUUGAACUUCGGGAUCAAUUGAUCGGUCAUGCCUUGGUAUGUACUGGUCAUAUUGGUUCUCACCUUCUAAUGAACCUUAAUGUCAUUCACUUGAUGUUUUGGGGAAUUAGGACUGUUACCUUGAAAAAAUUAGAGUGUUUAAAGCAGGCUUACGCUUGAAUACAUUAGCAUGGAAUAAUGAAAUAGGACAUCGCAUUCUAUUUUGUUGGUUUCUAGGAUCGAUGUAAUGAUUAAUAGGGAUAGUUGGGGGCAUUAGUACUCAAUUGUCAGAGGUGAAAUUCUUGGAUUUAUUGAAGACUAACUACUGCGAAAGCAUUUGCCAAGGAUGUUUUCAUUAAUCAAGAACGAAAGUUAGGGGAUCGAAGACGAUCAGAUACCGUCGUAGUCUUAACCAUAAACUAUGCCGACUAGGGAUCGGAUGAUGUUAAUUUUUAAAUGACUCAUUCGGCACCUUACGGGAAACCAAAGUGU
RNAcentral lists this ribosomal RNA (558 nucleotides) under uncultured Glomus. RNAcentral's name for it is "SSU rRNA". It matches the Rfam family "Eukaryotic small subunit ribosomal RNA", at positions 546 to 1106 of the family's 1831-position model. Lineage: Eukaryota; Fungi; Glomeromycota; Glomeromycetes; Glomerales; Glomeraceae. The record is from RNAcentral.